AUUGAACGCUGGCGGCAUGCCUUACACAUGCAAGUCGAACGGUAACGGGUCCUUCGGGAUGCCGACGAGUGGCGAACGGGUGAGUAAUAUAUCGGAACGUGCCCAGUAGUGGGGGAUAACUGCUCGAAAGAGCAGCUAAUACCGCACACGACCUGAGGGUGAAAGGGGGGGAUCGCAAGACCUCUCGCUAUUGGAGCGGCCGAUAUCAGAUUAGCUAGUUGGUGGGGUAAAGGCCUACCAAGGCAACGAUCUGUAGUUGGUCUGAGAGGACGACCAGCCACAAUGGGACUGAGACACGGCCCAGACUCCUACGGGAGGCAGCAGUGGGGAAUUUUGGACAAUGGGCGAAAGCCUGAUUCAGCAAUGCCGCGUGCAGGAUGAAGGCCUUCGGGUUGUAAACUGCUUUUGUACGGAACGAAAAGCCCCGGGUUAAUACCCUGGGGUCAUGACGGCACCGUAAGAAUAAGCACCGGCUAACUACGUGCCAGCCGCCGCAGUAA
RNAcentral lists this ribosomal RNA (500 nucleotides) under uncultured bacterium. RNAcentral describes it as "partial 16S ribosomal RNA". It matches the Rfam family "Bacterial small subunit ribosomal RNA", at positions 30 to 523 of the family's 1533-position model. The record is from RNAcentral.